ACGUAUCUCCGGCGGCAGCGGUCGCGCCCUGCUCCGGCCCUCCCGGGUCGUGCAGCGGGUGCGCCGCCCGUCGAAAACCCUCACAAACCCACCGUGAACCUUUUGCGGCGGAGGGCCCGUCGGCGAGAGCCGGCGACGUCCGAUGCCGAUCAUCACAGACUCCUAGUCUUUGAAACUCAGUGGCCUUUGCCACCCAACAAAUGUAA
RNAcentral lists this unclassified non-coding RNA (206 nucleotides) under uncultured fungus. RNAcentral's name for it is "sequence contains ITS1, 5.8S rRNA gene". Lineage: Eukaryota; Fungi. The record is from RNAcentral.